RNAcentral lists this ribosomal RNA (301 nucleotides) under uncultured bacterium. RNAcentral describes it as "partial 16S ribosomal RNA". It matches the Rfam family "Bacterial small subunit ribosomal RNA", at positions 509 to 807 of the family's 1533-position model. The record is from RNAcentral.
CAGUAGCCGCGGGAAUACAGAGGGUGCAAGCGUUAAUCGGAAUUACUGGGCGUAAAGCGCGCGUAGGUGGUUUGUUAAGUUGGAUGUGAAAUCCCCGGGCUCAACCUGGGAACUGCAUCCAAAACUGGCAAGCUAGAGUAUGGUAGAGGGUGGUGGAAUUUCCUGUGUAGCGGUGAAAUGCGUAGAUAUAGGAAGGAACACCAGUGGCGAAGGCGACCACCUGGACUGAUACUGACACUGAGGUGCGAAAGCGUGGGGAGCAAACAGGAUUAGAGACCCCUGUAGUCCCUGUAUCUUAUAC